GAACGCUGGCGGAAUGCUUUACACAUGCAAGUCGAGCGGCAGCGCGGGGCAACCUGGCGGCGAGCGGCGAACGGGUGAGUAAUAUAUCGGAACGUGUCCUGUAAUGGGGGAUAGCCCGGCGAAAGCCGGAUUAAUACCGCAUACGAUCUACGGAUGAAAGUGGGGGACCGCAAGGCCUCACGUUAUAGGAGCGGCCGAUAUUCGAUUAGCUUGUUGGUGAGGUAAAGGCUCACCAAGGCUACGAUCGAUAGCUGGUCUGAGAGGAUGAUCAGCCACACUGGGACUGAGACACGGCCCAGACUCCUACGGGAGGCAGCAGUGGGGAAUUUUGGACAAUGGGGGCAACCCUGAUCCAGCCAUUCCGCGUGAGUGAAGAAGGCCUUCGGGUUGUAAAGCUCUUUUGGCAAGGAAGAAACGGUUGUGGUGAAUAUCCACGACUACUGACGGUACCUGCAGAAUAAGCACCGGCUAACUACGUGCCAGCAGCCGCGGUAAUACGUAGGGUGCGAGCGUUAAUCGGAAUUACUGGGCGUAAAGCGUGCGCAGGCGGUUUUAUAAGCCAGAUGUGAAAUCCCCGGGCUUAACCUGGGAAUGGCAUUUGGGACUGUAAGGCUAGAAUCUGGCAGAGGGGGGUAGAAUUCCACGUGUAGCAGUGAAAUGCGUAGAGAUGUGGAGGAAUACCGAUGGCGAAGGCAGCCCCCUGGGCUAAGAUUGACGCUCAUGCACGAAAGCGUGGGGAGC
RNAcentral lists this ribosomal RNA (741 nucleotides) under uncultured soil bacterium. Its description in RNAcentral is "bacterial SSU rRNA". It matches the Rfam family "Bacterial small subunit ribosomal RNA", at positions 31 to 769 of the family's 1533-position model. The record is from RNAcentral.